GGCGAACGGGUGAGUAACACGUGAGUAACCUGCCCUUGACUCUGGGAUAAGCGUUGGAAACGACGUCUAAUACCGGAUACGAGCUAGGACCGCAUGGUCACUAGUUGGAAAGAAUUUCGGUCAAGGAUGGACUCGCGGCCUAUCAGCUUGUUGGUGAGGUAAUGGCUCACCAAGGCGACGACGGGUAGCCGGCCUGAGAGGGUGACCGGCCACACUGGGACUGAGACACGGCCCAGACUCCUACGGGAGGCAGCAGUGGGGAAUAUUGCACAAUGGGCGCAAGCCUGAUGCAGCAACGCCGCGUGAGGGAUGAAGGCCUUCGGGUUGUAAACCUCUUUUAGCAGGGAAGAAGCGAAAGUGACGGUACCUGCAGAAAAAGCACCGGCUAACUACGUGCCAGCAGCCGCGGUAAUACGUAGGGUGCAAGCGUUGUCCGGAAUUAUUGGGCGUAAAGAGCUCGUAGGCGGUUUGUCACGUCUGCUGUGAAAUUUCGAGGCUCAACCUCGAACUUGCAGUGGGUACGGGCAGGCUAGAGUGCGGUAGGGGAGAUGGGAAUUCCUGGUGUAGCGGUGGAAUGCGCAGAUAUCAGGAGGAACACCAAUGGCGAAGGCACAUCUCUGGGCCGUAACUGACGCUGAGGAGCGAAAGCGUGGGGAGCGAACAGGAUUAGAUACCCUGGUAGUCCACGCCGU
This 692-nucleotide ribosomal RNA is filed under the name uncultured Microcella sp. RNAcentral's name for it is "bacterial SSU rRNA". It matches the Rfam family "Bacterial small subunit ribosomal RNA", at positions 97 to 803 of the family's 1533-position model. Lineage: Bacteria; Bacillati; Actinomycetota; Actinomycetes; Micrococcales; Microbacteriaceae. The record is from RNAcentral.